AGAACGAACGCUGGCGGCAGGCUUAACACAUGCAAGUCGAGCGCUGUAGCAAUACAGAGCGGCGCACGGGUGAGUAACACGUGGGAACAUGCCUUUCGGUUCGGAAUAACUCAGGGAAACUUGUGCUAAUACCGGAUACGCCCUUACGGGGAAAGAUUUAUUGCCGAAAGAGUGGCCCGCGUUGGAUUAGCUAGUUGGCGGGGUAAAAGCCCACCAAGGCGACGAUCCAUAGCUGGUCUGAGAGGACGACCAGCCACACUGGGACUGAGACACGGCCCAGACUCCUACGGGAGGCAGCAGUGGGGAAUCUUGGACAAUGGGGGAAACCCUGGAUCCAGCCAUGCCGCGUGAGUGAUGAAGGCCCUAGGGUUGUAAAACUCUUUCGGCGGGACGAUAAUGACGGUACCCGCAGAAGAAGCUCCGGCUAACUUCGCGCCAGCAGCCGC
Molecule: ribosomal RNA, 446 nt
Filed under: uncultured bacterium
Lineage: Bacteria
Description: SSU rRNA
Rfam family: Bacterial small subunit ribosomal RNA
Source: RNAcentral